UGAGAUAUAUAUUAUACUUUAUAUCAGUUUUAUAAUAUUUUUAUGAAUUAAAUUUAUUAUAUUAGGUACUAGAAUUUAAAAUUUUUAAUAAUGUUUUAUUUUGUAAUAAAAUGUUAUUAUUAAUUUUUCAAUUAUUUUUAAAAUUUUAUUUUAUUUACGGAUCAAAUCGGAUUUUCUUUAAAAUUCUAAAACACUUCGGAUAUCCGAGUCACCAAUAUCUAGGUUGUUAAAGAUAGAAUCGACACGAAUGCUUCUAAAUACCCAUAUAUUCGAUCUGGCCCACCCCUACAAUUUUAUUUUUUUUAUAUGAAAAAAUGACUAAUGAAGGCCUUCUUUAUUUUAAAUUAAUUUUAAUUUUAUCUUUCAUGUAUUAUUUUGAACAAAAAUGUCAUUUAGUAUUAAUUAAUAAUAUCUUUAUAUAUUUAUCAACUAUUUAUAUAUAUUUCUUACAUACAUAUAUAUGUGCACCUUGAUGUGACCACCUUGUAACUAAAUAUUCACCACAACUGAGGUAUCUAAUUUUUUUGAAAGUUGAAAUACUUUUUUCUUAAUGCUUCUUUCACUACCAACCAAAUGUAGUAAAAUAAUAUAUCUUAACAAUUCUUUUUUCUUUUUAUUAAACUAUUUUAGAAACUAUAAUAUGAAACUAUUGGUUCGACAUAACGACUAUCUAAAACUCAUAACAUGAAAAUAAAUAAAUGAUAUUAUUUUUUGGUUUUUACUCGAAAAACUAGAAAACCAAACAUUUUAACCGAGUAAACUAAAAUAAAUAUUAAUUUAAAAUAAUAGUUAUAUUUUAGAAGAUUAAAACCAAUAAAAAAAACUUAAAACCGAACCAAUAUCCAGAUUAAACAGAUUUAAUGUAUUUUUAUUAAAAAUAACGAAACUAAUAAUCACAUCCUGCACAAAGCGCGGGUUAUUACCUAGUCUUCCUUUAUUUUGUUUGUUGUUGGAAGCAACUAGCGCUUCCUAUAAGCGCCUUAUUAUGCAAUCUUUAAUUUGUAUAACUUAGGUUUAUAUAUAUAUACAAGGAGGCAAGUUGGAUGAAGUCACAAGAAAAGUAAAAAACCAAAGGCUUGUUUUGUUGGCUUUUAAGAAUUUAGGGCAAAUCAUAUCCUACGUAAAUGAGUUAUCCAAAUCUUGUAUUUCCUACCACCGGUUAGAGAGACUGUCUUGAUGUCAGGCCAACUGGCCAAGUCCUCUACUGGCCCUCUCCAGAAGGCGUUUCAAAACUUUUGUGAUAGCGAAGGCAGUAUUACAUCGACGUUGAAGUGGCUAAGUUUUCUCGGUUUGAGUAAAGUAAGCAGAAGACGUUCAUGAGUUCAUCCUCAUACUCUUCGGAGAACUUAAUACAACAGGAAAGUUCAUGCAUUUGUAAGAUGGGUAUGUGAUACGAAGAUCCAACAGACCAAAAGAGAUUGGUUUUUGUUCUCCUAUCAAGAAGAAAAGUAAUAUCAACAGUAAACUUGGUAUCAUAUUCCAUAAACUCGUCACAAGCGAAGCAUCCAGAUUGAAGCAGCACAAUGAGCUAGUAGCUCACGCGUACUGUUUUUUUUUGUUUAAUGCCCUUAUUACUUGUAGAGUUGUAGUUGUAAAAGGUUCACCAAGGCAUAAUUAAAUAAAAAAACAUAACAAAGAUAGAUUUCAGUACUUGGUAUCUUAAUUUGUUUGAAAGGUUCACCAAAGCUUUCUUGUAUUCUUUUCUUUCUUUUGUAACAAGUGGCACGGGUUCAAAUACUUUUAACUUCAUCGAUGAAAAUCUUAAUCGGCUGGUUAAUAAUACAGAAAACAAAUAACGAUUUAAUUUUUUACCAAAUAAACUAAAGUUGAAAUAACGAUUAACAAAUUCAUUUACAUCUCUCCCACACCACAAACUCAAUUUCACACAAGAAGAAUAUUUUAACGAAUUGAAAAAGCAGUACUUAAAGUAUAUCAAACCACGGUUGUAGCCGUGUUAUCAGCAGCCUCUGUGUCUUUGCGGUCCUCUUGGUAACAAUAGGAUACGAUACCCAAAAUGACAAGUAUGAUGCCUAUAAGCGGACCCAGUAUUUUGACGAUCAAACCUGUCGUCGUCUCCAUCGAUCUUUCUUUUAAUGGAUUUCUGUUUAUUGGUUGAUAGAAACAAAUGACCAUCGAUAGAACCAUCUAUCUAUAUAUAUAUAUAUAUAUAUAUAUACUUCCUUUUCUAAGAUGAGCCGUUUGCUGACUUUGUAUUUUCUAAAUUUUUACAAUACAUACCAGGUGUUGCGUUUAACCUCCACUUGUGUACAUUUUUAAUAGGUUUUUAUUAUAUAGCUGAGAGUUGAGACGUGUGAUUGACCCAUUCUACUAGUCGGGUUGUCUAUGUAUUAGUUUGGUUUUAUAUGCUUUGCUAAAAAUACAUUUUUUAGAAACACGAUGUCAACUAACAAAAUCACCACGUUCAUGACUUUCUAUUUUGAGUAGUACUAAAUCUACUGAGUUCUGAUUUAUGCAUACAUGUUUACAUCUCUUGCACGUAAUAUCUCAGACUAUAACAUAUUAACAUUCAUGUUUCACACAAACAUAUUGGAAACAAUGAAUGUUGUAAACUCUGCAAAGGUUUGGAGAACUUAUUUUAUUCAUAUGAACGAAGUAACAAAAAUAAGAUAUUGAUAUGUUUCUAUCAUUAUCACAUGCAAACUUGAUACACAAGUAACAAACACAUUCUCCAAUGUAUUCUUCUUAGACCCUUCUUAUCAUAUUAGAAAUGUUUCUAAAACUCUAUACACAAAUGAAAUGAUAUGAACAAAAAGCAAGCAACGGUGGUAGCCGCCGCAUCCAUUUGCUGGUGGUGGUGUCUUUGCGACCAUACUUCUCUAUACAGGAUUGACUAGGGGUGAGCAUGAAUUGGAUAUUCGUUCGGUUUUCUAAUUCCAUCUGUUCUAAUACGGUUUUCUAAUUUCACCAAAUUUGUCUCUCUUGUAGAUAUAAUCAAUGAUUAUAUUCAUCUCUUGUCAAGAAACCUUAGUAGUUAUAAAAGGUUUUCUUAUUUUAUUUCAUGGGAAGGCAACGCCUUAUAUACAAUUAGGGCCGGUCCGUCCUACGGGUGGGAAGUUAUAAUAAAAGUGAUUUUAUAAUAAUUUAUGAAGUAAUUUAAAAUUAUGAUAGAUUAAAAAAUAUUAUAAACGAAAAAAUAAUGAAAAACUUAUGAGAUCAUUAUAAUUAUUUUUUUGUUUUGAAUUAUAAUGACAGUAAAUUUCACUAUUUUCUGAUAAAUAACAUUAUAUUUUUAAUAUUUGUUUUAAUUCAAAUGUUUUGUUUUAUAAUAUUCUUAAUUAAACUAACUUAUUUAAGGUUUUUUUUUGCGAAUAUGACUCAAAACUUGAGUCAUUCCUAAAGUAAUUCAUGCUUUUUUUUUGUGAUGUAAUUGUAUAAUCCCUUUGUAUGUAUGUUUUGUAAAAUUUUGUUAAGAGAAGUAUAUAAUAAUAUUUAUGGGUUUUGAGAAUUUUAGGGUGUCGAAAGAUUAUUUAUGUUAAGAUUAGUUAUAUUUGAGUUAAAAUGUUUUAAUGAGGGGGUUCAUUGAAUGAUUUAAUGUGAUAGUCAAUGAGGAUGCAUGAAUCCAUAACGGUUCCAAAAUUCAACCAAAGGUAGAAGAAGUGGAAUCGAACAGCCAAAUACGACGCCUUCCAACUAACCUUGAUCGGAAUUCAGCGUGGCCGGUGCAGCAAAUCUUCACUGGCCGUAGGUUUGAACCGGAGUUGUUAAAAUGCAGCAGAUCUAUCUUUCGUUCGUCGACAUUAUUUUUGGAGAAGAAGCCGUUUCAUGUGGGACCCUCUCAUGUGUUACCCUACAGCCUAGAAACCCAAUUGUGUUAAGCCUAAAACACUGAUCUGAAAUAUUUAUUUACAAAAAAAAAAGCCCAUUAAUAACUGUGAUUAAGUAAAACGGUGAGUAUCAUCCAACCCCAACACGUGUCGGCCUGUCAGGAACCGACUUUAUGACGUGGCAAAGCAGGAAUGAGGCGAAUAUAUUUUUAUAUAGAUAGAUACACAUACAAAGUAUUAAACCUAACUUGUACAUAAUAGAUUUACAAUACAAAAGGGCCGUACGGCCCAAUAACCCUCCUCAAGCUGGAGUGUGGAGGUUGAGAACACCCAGCUUGCAAAGAAAAGCUUCAUACUCCUUUCGGCCCAACGCUUUAGUCAUAAUAUCAGCCAGUUGCGAUUUGGUCGAACCACCUUUCUUGAUCACACCUUUCUUGAUCCAAUCUUGAAUUAAAUGGCACUCCUUCUCGAUAUGUUUUGUACGAGCAUGAAAAACCGGAUUAGCAGCCAAUUGGAUUGCCGAUAAACUGUCUGAAUACAGAGUAAUGCUCGAUGUAGUAUCAAUUCCAAACACAGCAAGGAGUUCCCGCAGACACAGUAAUUUACGCCACAGUAUCACCUAUUGCCCGAUAUUCUGCUUUUUUGCUGAAGAACAGGAGACAACGUCAUGUUUAUGUGAAUUCCAAGACAAAGGUGAACCACCCAAUUGAAUGAACCAACCAUGUAUCUGACAUAUAAAAAUCUAGAGAUAAAUCUAUCUAUUUAUUCUAUUAAAAUUGAAGUACAUUUUUUUGAUAUAAAAUAAUUUAGAAUAAUUUUCUCAAAUAGCGCUUUUAAGUUUUAUCACAAAAACAGCCUUCAAGAAAGAAAAUAACUAAAAUAGCUCUUUUUAUUUUGAAAAUAUAAUAUUUAUUUUUUUUAUUUUUUUUUUAAUUUGAAACUCUAUCCCCGAAACCUCACCCAUUAACUCUAAACCCUAAGUCUAGAUUAGUUAACCCUAAGAUCAUUUUCCCUUUAAUAAACCUUAUAUUUUUACCCUUUAAUAAAUUUUAUUUUGGUCAUUUUCUUUAUUGAAGACUAUUUUUGUGAUAAAAACUUAAAAAUGGCUCUCUUAAGGAAUUUCUAAAUAAUUUAUUUUAAAAAGAUAGAUUUAUUAAUAUAAAUAAACCUAAUAAUUGGUGUGUUAGUUUAUAAAUAAAUACAUCAAAAAUUGGUUAUUGUAGUAGAAAAAUUAUUAAUUACAAACAUGUGAUAUAACAUAUUAUUUUGAUUGGUUUUAUAUAACCAAUAAAUUACAUACAAUUAAAAUCAAUAAUGUAUCAUAAAUGUUAUAUAUAACAAAUUGAACAAAUAUCCAUACGAAUACAUGUUUGUGCAGCCAUUAUAUUAAUGUGUUUUAAAGAAUUUCAUAUGUCUAUGCUAUUAAACAAACUCUAGUACAUAUUAAAGGCAUAUUAAAUUUGAUUAAACUAUAUUAUUUUAUGAUUAACUAUAUAUUUUGUGAUACACAUACAACAACACGAAACUUUGUGGAGACGAGUACGAGCACAUCUAACUUCCAUUGCAGUUCUCAGAUCGCGAGAAACGGAAACUUCCAAGAAGCAGAAGCUCUAUUCAAACAGAUGUCUGCAGAGAGGCCCGUCCUUUGCAUAAGGCUGAUGAAGCAUAUGUUUUAGGCCACAAUCAAAUAAAUAGUUUUAGAGGCCACAUUUUAGAGAUGUUUUAGUGUAGUGGUUUCAGAUUGUUUGCUAAUACUCGUGACAUACGAGAGUCAACCCCUAUUAUGCACUUCUUUAAAAACAUAUGUAUCCUUCCACUAUUUUUUUCUGUUAGUUUUCAUAUAAUAUAUUGCUUAUUUAACAAUAUGAUUCUUUUGUUGACAAAUAAAAAAAUAAUAUGACCCUCUUCGAUUAUUUUCAUGGGCAAAUCUCCAAAAUAGCACCUUUCUAAGUUUAUAUCACAAAAAUAGCAUUCAAAAACUAAAAUGACCAAAAUAGCAUUUUAUUUUUUGAAAAAUUUAAAUUUUUUUAAUUUUCAAAAUUUGAAAUCUUAUCCCCAAAACCUCACUUCUCAACUCUAAACCCUAAAACCUAAACUCUAAAUCCUAAACCCUAAAUUCUAAACCCUAAACCCCACCCCUUGAGUGCUAUUUUUGUGACUUUUGGCCUUGAGUGUUAGUUUGAGAACAAAAACUUGAUUUAGUGCUAUUUUGAUCUUUUUCUCUAUUUUCAUUUCUUAAUAAUUUUCUAUAUCAUAUUUUUACUAUCAAGUAAUUAUAUAUUAGAAUAUUUUUUUUGUAUCUGAAUAGUAUUAGAGCUAUAUAUAUUACUAACUUUAACUGCCAUAAUUAUAAGUUUCCUACUAAAUUUAAAUAAAUAUAUUAUUAUCUGCUAAAUAUUGAUUCAUCGUUAAAAACAUAUUUUAAAUAUUAUUAUAAUCUAUAGCUCUAAUACUAUUCAGUUACAAAAAAAUUAUUCUAAUAUAUAAUUACUUGAUAGUAAAAAAUAUGAGGCCACUAUGGCCCUGUUCGUUUGCUCACCCAGGUGAUCCAUCUGGGUGAAGAUGCAAAUUGAUGUUCGUUUAAUGCAUUAUAAUGCUACAUCCAGAUGGAUCACCCAGCUGAAUCAUCUCAAAUUCUCACCCAAAUGAAGGUGAGUCUUGAUGGUGCAUCUGGAUGCAGAUGCAUCUAGUUCAGUCCAAAAUAAUAAAUGACAAAAAUGACAUUUUAAAAUCAAAAUAUUAUUUUCAAACCGUAAAUUCUAUUUUUUUUUGCAUAUACAUUUUUUCGCUAUAACAAAAAAAUGUAUUUUCUCGCAAAACGGAAAAACACACUUUUCCGCCAAAACCGCAAGAUGCAUUUUUCCGCAAAAA
Long non-coding RNA from Brassica rapa (field mustard), 6656 nucleotides. RefSeq lists it as uncharacterized. NCBI's taxonomy places the organism in Eukaryota, Viridiplantae, Streptophyta, Magnoliopsida, Brassicales, Brassicaceae. The record is from RefSeq and is a predicted model, not a curated record.